GACGAACGCUGGCGGUAUGCUUAACACAUGCAAGUCGAACGAGACGAGAUGGAAGGAUCCUUCGGGUGACGGAAAUCUUAGAAAGUGGCGAACGGGUGAGUAACGCGUGGGUAACCUGCCCUAUGGAAAGGAAUAGCCUCGGGAAACUGGGAGUAAUGCCUUAUAAUAUAGUGAAGUCGCAUGGCUUUGCUAUUAAACGCUCCGGUGCCAUAGGAUGGACCCGCGUCCCAUUAGCUAGUUGGUGAGAUAACAGCCCACCAAGGCGACGAUGGGUAACCGGUCUGAGAGGGCGAACGGUCACACUGGAACUGAGACACGGUCCAGACUCCUACGGGAGGCAGCAGUGGGGAAUAUUGCGCAAUGGGGGCAACCCUGACGCAGCAAUACCGCGUGAGUGAAGAAGGUUUUCGGAUCGUAAAGCUCUGUUAUUGGGGAAGAAAAAAGACGGUACCCAAGAAGAAAGUCCCGGCUAACUACGUG
RNAcentral lists this ribosomal RNA (480 nucleotides) under uncultured bacterium. RNAcentral's name for it is "bacterial SSU rRNA". It matches the Rfam family "Bacterial small subunit ribosomal RNA", at positions 28 to 507 of the family's 1533-position model. The record is from RNAcentral. RNAcentral also lists the same sequence under 1 other name.